Molecule: ribosomal RNA, 305 nt
Filed under: uncultured bacterium
Lineage: Bacteria
Description: bacterial SSU rRNA
Rfam family: Bacterial small subunit ribosomal RNA
Source: RNAcentral
GCCUACGGGAGGCAGCAGUGGGGAAUAUUGCCCAAUGGGGGAAACCCUGAUGCAGCGACGCCGCGUGAAGGAAGAAGGCUUUCGGGUUGUAAACUUCUUUUGACAGGGAAGAGUAGAAGACGGUACCUGUCGAAUAAGCCACGGCUAACUACGUGCCAGCAGCCGCGGUAAUACGUAGGUGGCAAGCGUUGUCCGGAUUUACUGGGUGUAAAGGGCGUGUAGCCGGGUUGACAAGUCAGAUGUGAAAUCCUGCGGCUUAACCGCAGAACUGCAUUUGAAACUGUUGAUCUUGAGUACUGGAGAGG